Molecule: long non-coding RNA, 1482 nt
Organism: Lolium perenne
Lineage: Eukaryota; Viridiplantae; Streptophyta; Magnoliopsida; Poales; Poaceae
Source: RefSeq, a predicted model, not a curated record
CCGCCGCUGCCGCCAUCUCCUCCCGUUGGCGGCUCGCCCAUGCUCGCUCCGCCAAACACAUCGAUCCCCCCCCCCCCCCCCCGGCGACCCCAGCUAGCAGGCUGCUCCGAGAGCCCUCAUAGACCCCCAUGGAGGCAGCGGGCUUGUUGAAGCCACGGCUGGAGGAGGCCAUCGACUGCGUCAUGAACCCGCAUCACGGCACCCCCGUUCCACCGUGGUGACAAGCACUUCCACUUCCACAACUCCAGCCUCUAGACGCGGAGCGUACUCAACGUGCAGAACUGAGGAGCACUGUCGGUUCAUCUGGCCUGCAGUUUGAUUAUGCAACUCAAUAUUUAGUUGCUCAAGGUUUAAAUAUAUCAGGCUUAUAAUCAAAGGAGCAUUCCAAAAAGAAAGGUUCCAGUGUGAAUGAUAAUAAUGACAACCCUGCUUAUGAAAUGACUCCGGAUGGUCAGCGACAGAAGGAUGGUUCAACCGAUCUUUCAUCAAGCAAAGAAGCAAAAGCUGAUUCUCACAAAGUGCAGACAACUGGUGAUCCGCAUGAGAGUGAAAUACAUAUAAUUUGAUAUCUUUUCUAGUGAUCCGCUAUUUCCUGAUGGGGAAGUUCUUCAAACAAAGUGCAUCUCCAGUUUCCCUGAUGAUCCGGAUGAUAAUAAAAUACAAAUCAGAAAAGGUAUGAAACAACAGUUUGAAAACUGCAUACAGCCUAGAGGCGUGGUUAUGUACCUUUACUCUCCCUGAUGAUUCCACGAGUUCUCUCGCAUAACAAUGGUGCACGGUACUCUUUAUAUGCAUGCUUUAGGAUUCUAUGGUUUCAGGCAAGUACCGAUAUGGUUGAUCUGCAGUGAUGGAGUUUCCUUUGAAAUGUGAUUGAUCCCUGAAAUGUUGCGGUUUUCUUUCUUGUACCUGACAUAAUGGUGUGUUGAUAGAUCCCUGAAAUGUUGUGUGCACUUUCCUGGAAUGCGCGAUGAAUUAAUGUUGUGAUUUCCUAUUCUGUGGGCGGUGAUUAUGCGCUGGACUUUCCUGGAAUGCUUAUGCGGUUUCCUAUUCUGUUACACUGAAAUGAUGUUGCCGUGCUAGAUUGUUUGAAGCAAGGUGGGAGGGCAAAAUGGUCAAGUUGAAAAUAUGUGUGACGAAACUCCGACCGGAGGAAACAGAGGAAGUUCUUUCUUUUUAGAUGGUAGAGAUAAGUUAAAAGAAGAAGGGAAGAAGAAAAAAAUGGGUCUAUCAAUAUUAUAUGAUAUACAUGUUAGUCAUAUUCCUAAACAUGAAUUAGUCACCAAACAUUGCGACGUGUCACCAAACAUUGCGACGUGUUUUGCAUCAACCAAAUAUAUCUCAUAGCCAUGUGACAACAACAUCCAGGUGCUAUGCACAUCACUGUUCCCUAACAACCCAUGAUAAUAUAAACCGAGAGUUGUCGUAUGAGCUUCGCUGGCACUCUGCAUUCCGGUGUUUCAGGUGACUUCUUGCUUGGAAACU